This 439-nucleotide ribosomal RNA is filed under the name uncultured bacterium. RNAcentral's name for it is "bacterial SSU rRNA". It matches the Rfam family "Bacterial small subunit ribosomal RNA", at positions 28 to 507 of the family's 1533-position model. The record is from RNAcentral.
GAUGAACGCUGGCGGUAUGCCUAACACAUGCAAGUCGUACGAGAGUUUUUAACUCUAGUGGCGGACGGGUGAGUAACACGUGAGAAUUUGCCUUUAGGAGGGGGAUAACAAUUGGAAACGAAUGCUAAUACCCCAUAUGCUUUUGAGUGAAAUGGAUUUUAUCCGCCUAGAGAGAAGCUCGCGGCUGAUUAGCUUGUUGGUAAGGUAAGAGCUUACCAAGGCGACGAUCAGUAUCUGGUUUGAGAGGACGAUCAGACACACUGGAACUGAGACACGGUCCAGACUCCUACGGGAGGCAGCAGUGGGGAAUUUUCCGCAAUGGGCGAAAGCCUGACGGAGCAAUACCGCGUGAGGGAAGACUGCCUAUGGGUUGUAAACCUCUUUUUCAGGGAGGAAUAAAUGACGUGUACCUGAAGAAUAAGCAUCGGCUAACUCCGUG